GAUUCGAUGCAGUUUGGGAAAAAAUCAUCUCAGUGAAGACGGACACAAACAAAGCAGCUUGGAGAACACGCCCAAGCCUCCCAGCUGGCUCAUGCUGCACAUCUGCAUUCAGUCUCCUUUGGAGGCGUUAGCCCAGAGCUGGGCAUCCUGCCGAGUUUCCAGGUGUGAAAAAAACACAGGAACUGCAAUUUUUCAGUGGUGAUUCAGCCAAACUGUUGACCCCAAAUCCUCUUUCUGCUGCAGAUGCAUUAAUGCGUUUUCUUAAAUGGUAAGUCCUAAGGUCUAAGCAGCACGGGGCACUGUAGCUUGCGUUUGCUUCUCAGCAUUGCAAGGGCAGGAGCAGCGUGUUUACAGCCAGAUGAACGUGCUAGGGUGUGUGUUUGCAUGGGGGUGUGCUCACAUCAAGAUAUGCGUGUGCUAGCUGCACUCUUUCGCACAGUGUGUGUAAUUGCAUGUGGCAUUCAUGUGGGUGUGCCUGUUAAUCACCCUGUAUACACUGGCCUGUAUGGUGUUAGAGUUAAUGCAUGGUAAGAGAGCGCAGUGUAAGUACACGG
Malaclemys terrapin pileata is the source of this 554-nucleotide long non-coding RNA. RefSeq lists it as uncharacterized. The transcript has 3 exons. Lineage: Eukaryota; Metazoa; Chordata; Testudines; Emydidae. The record is from RefSeq and is a predicted model, not a curated record.